This is an RNA transcript of Onychostoma macrolepis, 3343 nucleotides long. RefSeq lists it as uncharacterized. The record is from RefSeq and is a predicted model, not a curated record. The transcript has 5 exons. NCBI's taxonomy places the organism in Eukaryota, Metazoa, Chordata, Actinopteri, Cypriniformes, Cyprinidae.
CAUCGUCCGCUAUUUCCAGCACUUAAUCAAGUUAUCAUUGCGUUGGCUCUCGAUUUGAGCUAUUUCGUCCGCAACCAUUGAAGUAUUCAGUUUCUACAGCGACUCAUUUAGCUCACAUCCUUCUUUUUUUUUUUUUUUUGGCUCACAUCCUUCUCUUUCUAUGAAACCUGUAAACCGCAUUCACCGGUUCUAGCUCUAUAGCGGUUUCCCCGAGCAUUGCAAUUCUUUCGUUUUUACAUAAGAAAAGACAACGAGACUAAUUCCCUAACAGCUACGACAUCAGCUGCGCACUCGGAGCUCUGCGAAUCUAUCGAUAAAUCUUCGUCGAUAAAUCCCCUCCUUCGGCCAGCACUUUUGAUUCUACAACAUCAGCCACGAUAAAGAGUGGCACGGUCACCCUGAAAUAUGACUGCCGCCCCCACUGGAUCCCCAACAUCACUGGGCUAGAGUACUGUCAAUCUGACGAUGCCUGUAUGCCAUUGGAUCAAAGCGCUCUGAAUUGCUGCCUGAUCGUUGCAUGCUUGCAUUUGGAGCGCUCAUCAACGCCAUUAGAUCGAUGGGCUCUGUCAGUGCUUUGGCAAGAUGCAGCUGUGAUCACAAUUACAUUACCAGCACCUUGAUGAACUGAAAGAGGAAGAUCAUCAUAAUUAAUAAACUGAUGAAUGAAGAAUGAUAUAAAUUCAAUUUCAAGCUUUUAUUGUCAUUGCAUCGGAAUGCAAUGAAAUUUCAGAGACUACACACAGAGACUACACAUGAUGCAGGCCCCGAGCACCCAGGACGCGAACUUCUCAGAUGUCCUUCGCUCCAGCGCCAGGACACGACGGACCCUGGGUGCACCAGCAGCAGAAGACACAAUCCAGGCCCCAGGCCCCAGGCAAUGACCUCGCCGCCUCCGGCCCUCAAGAUCUCCACCCGGAACCGCUUCGCUCCCCUCCGCGAGACGGAACGCGACGCUGUGAUCGUCGGAGACUCCAUCGUCCGGCACGUCCGUGCUACAUUAGCUGAAGGUAAAGUGCACACUCACUGUUUCCCCGGUGCUCGUGUUCUCAAUGUUUCUGCGCAGAUACCUGCGAUCCUGAAGGGCGACGAGAGCAUCGGCGCUGUCGUGCUGCACGCGGGGGUUAACGACACCAAGCUGCGGCAGACGGAGACACUGAGGAGGGACUUCAGGAGCCUGAUCGAGACGGUACGCAGCACAUCGCCCGCGAAGACGAUCAUCGUGUCAGGACUUCCCACGUAUCGACGAGGACACGAAAGGUUCAGUAGACUUUUUGCCUUAAAAGAAUGGUUAUUGUCAUGGUGUAAAGAACAGAAACUGGUCUUUGUUAAUAAUUGUAAUCUUUUCUGGGAGUGUCCUAGGCUUUUCCGUGCUGAUGGCCUGCAUCCCAGCAGAGUCGGAGGGUUACUCCUGUCGGACAACAUCUCCAGGACGCUACGCUCCAUCUGACUAGAACCAGUUUCAUGCUAACCACCGAUCCGCCGAGCGACAUGUGUCACCCCACCUCAAUGUGUCACCCCGCCCCAUCGUCCAGAUUGCACUCUGGAGUACUUGGAGCGGUGUGGAAUAAAGGAUCAAGAGUCGUGCAGAAGUCUCCAGGAGGUCUGGGAUGAACGGUCUGUGUGAAGAGAGCGAGAGAUCAGUCAUGUGAUCAUCUGUGAAGAUGAUCUGAUUUUGACAUCUCACUUACUGAGAGUGUGUCAUACAGGUCAGAGGUCAUGGACUUGAGCUCAAGAGCUGUGUAUGUGUCUUCAUUGGGAUCAGAGAUCUACAGAGACAGAACAAAAUAUGAGGAGAUAAUAUAAGCAAAAAAUCAUAAUAUUAAAUAUAUAAUAUUUAGACAAUUGGUCAAUUUUAUUUAACAAUAUAUGCAUUUUACGAAACACUGGAAGAAAAAGCCAAAGUUAAUCAAAGUAUUUUUUUUUUUUAGUCCAACAUACACUUUUUUUUUUUUUUCUGGGAUCUUGAUGCUUUUCAUGUUUCAGUCACAUGUGAAGCAAUAAUGUGCACAAAAGGGCAAGAGUUUGCUGUGGUAAUGAACAAUGAUACCUGCUUAAGGAACGAGUGAAAAUCGAGACUAGGUACCCAGCAUGCAUUGCAGCAUGAAGAUUUUGAUUGUCACCAUUGUUGAGAUUCAUACACCGAUUCUUGAUGUCUCUCUUUGUGUUUAAAUGACACAGUAGUUCAAAAUGUUUGUGACUUAUGCUUUUAAAAUCAUUCAUAAAUUAUUACACUGUAUGACCCUAUACUGUAUAAUCAAAAAGCUGUUAUAAUUAAAGAGUUCAGACAUAACAUCUCACAAAGACUGAAUCUAGGUGAUGAUUUUGUUAACAUCAACAAACCAAUAUCACCUGGUUGCAGUCUCUUUUUGGUGUUACUUGCCAUAACAAAUGUGCUUUACAAACACAGUUACAGCAGCCCAAAAAAAUAUAAUGUUAUAAAGUCAAGGGUCAAGAGCCCAACUAAAGCAAACACUAAUCACUUUGAUGGUAACAACAAACGAAACAAUAAAACAUAUAAUUCUCAAUAAGUGCUUUUGUAGAUGUCAAAAAUAAAGUCAGUCUGGUUAGUAAUGAGCAGGUGAUGCUGUUUGUGGAGUUGUUUAAUCAUUCUCUGCUGAGAUCAUGAGAGAUUUAAUGUCUUUUAUUUCAGUUGAUUUCAUCGAAGGCUGUGUCUGGAAGUCAGUUGUAUGUUUGGAGAAGGUUCUUAUAACAGAAAUCUGUUAGCUGGGCGUGCACUCAUGAGCUCAUCAUGUGAGAGCACUGUGAUAUCUCUGUGAUAGUGUUGAGAAACAGGAAGCAGAAUGUCCCCCAGCGACUGAUAUUUGAGCUGCCUCCUCUCAACCUGCUCAACAUUUUGGGUUCACAAUGAGCUCAAUAUUACUCACACUGUGAGGAUCACCGUAUGAGAAUGGUGUGAUGUCACUGAUUAUCGCGUGAUAUUAGGCUGUAUUAAUUAGGUCAACCGGAUCUGGGAACACUUCCCAUAACACCUAAUGUACUUGUAAUCGCUAAUAUUAGUCUGUUUCAUUCUUAUUCCGAAGUCACCAUAGCCACCCAGAUCCAGUCCGUAUCCAGAUCAGAUGGUGGAUCAGUUAAAUAUAUUAGGGGUGUGCGAUAUUGACAAAUAAUAUAUCUCAAUAUUUGGUAACACUUUAUUUUGAUAGUCCACUUUAGACAUUCUACUAACAGUAAGUAAAUUUGCAACUACAUGUCAACUAGCAGUCAUUAGAGUAUUAGUAGACUGUCUGCUUAAUAUCUUUAACACUUUAUUUUGAUGGGUCCACAACAUACAACAUACUGACUAUGAGAAACUUUGCAAGUAUAUGUAAACUUAUUCUACUAA